RNAcentral lists this unclassified non-coding RNA (306 nucleotides) under plant metagenome. RNAcentral's name for it is "partial contains 5.8S ribosomal RNA, internal transcribed spacer 2, and large subunit ribosomal RNA". The stretch from base 1 to 105 matches the Rfam family "5.8S ribosomal RNA", at positions 50 to 154 of the family's 154-position model. The record is from RNAcentral.
GAAAUGCGAUAAGUAAUGUGAAUUGCAGAAUUCAGUGAAUCAUCGAAUCUUUGAACGCACAUUGCGCCCGCCAGUAUUCUGGCGGGCAUGCCUGUCCGAGCGUCAUUUCAACCAUCAAGCCCCCGGGCUUGUGUUGGGGACCUGCGGCUGCCCGCAGGCCCUGAAAACCAGUGGCGGGCUCGCUGUCACACCGAGCGUAGUAGCAAUCACCUCGCUCAGUGCGUGCUGCGGGUUCCGGCCGUUAAACAGCCUUACAAAACCCAAGGUUGACCUCGGAUCAGGUAGGAAGACCCGCUGAACUUAAGC